RNAcentral lists this long non-coding RNA (412 nucleotides) under Androctonus crassicauda. Lineage: Eukaryota; Metazoa; Arthropoda; Arachnida; Scorpiones; Buthidae. The record is from RNAcentral.
CUUACCUUGCCAUGUUGUAUAUGUGCUACAGAUCUAUAAUUGUAAACAAUGAUAGGUUACUGUCUUACUAAUAUGUAUGCCUUUUUGUUUUGGCAUGUCCUGUUUAACUGGGUUAGAAGUGUGAUAGUGGAAGAAGUAGGUGUCAUGCUGGAUAAAAUUGAGUAUCAAGCCAUAAUAUGGUUCCCUUCAUCUUCAACAGAAAACUGCACAGACAGUUCACAGAUGUCAGCUGCAUAUGAUGAGAAAUACUUAUUGUGCGAGACUUUGAAAUGAAGGAAAUGAGAAUUCAAAUGUAAUCAACCAACUUUACAGAAUGACCCAAGAGAAUACCAUUCAGCAAGGUUAUGUUAUCUGUGUUUUGGGACAGCAAAAGUGUUAUAUUAAUAGAUUAUUUACAAAAAAGGUUGACAAU